RNAcentral lists this unclassified non-coding RNA (645 nucleotides) under Hevea brasiliensis (rubber tree). Lineage: Eukaryota; Viridiplantae; Streptophyta; Magnoliopsida; Malpighiales; Euphorbiaceae. The record is from RNAcentral.
AAUUGCAAAGAAACUUGCAAUUGUAGGACUCUGGUGCAUUCAGUGGAACCCAGCAGAUCGUCCCUCUAUGAAAGUUGCUGUUCAUAUGUUGGAAGGGGAAGGAGAGAAUCUACCAACACCUCCCAAUCCUUUUAGCUCUUCAGUUCCAACAAAAACAAAGGCAAGAAUACCAGGGAGACGACUUCUCCAAGAGUUGGAGGUUAUCUCAGAAGCAGAGUAAAAUCAUAAACUAAGGUAAUCCUUUUUAGUGUUUGGCUUUCUAGUUGUCACUUUCUUAAUCUACCUGUGUACUGUAACAUGAGAAUAAUUAUUAGUAUCGCAUGCAAAACCAUAAAUGCUUGCAAUUAUAUCACAUUCUUUGGGAAUUUGAUUUAUUUUUGGUAACCAGUCUACCAGCUGAGCUCAUAGACUGCACUGAUGCUAAUGCAUGCGUUUCAGUGGUAAUGCACUGCACGCAUAUGAAUUUAGCAUGUAAUGUCAAAUCCCAUCAACUGAGGGCAAUUAGACUCACAUACGUUUCACUUAGUAUGCCACCCCCAUACAUUGGGUGUUUUGGGAGGCCUAUUGGUCUAGUUUUAGGGCAUGUUUGGUUUAACUGUUGAAUGCAACUGAUAGCCGUUACUGUUAGCUGAUAACUGAUAACUG